CAGUCGUACCUGCGGGUAAUCAGCCUUUUGGGCAUGAUUCUGUGGAGCGUGAGGGGUUGAAAGGGAAACGAUUGAAGUCAGUCGUACCUGCGGAUAAUCAGCCUUUAGGAUGCGAUUUUGUGGAGCGUGAGGAGCUAAUCGCCUUCAUGCCUAUAUAUUCGUGUACUUGGGGUGUACUUAUUCGUGAGG
Molecule: ribosomal RNA, 189 nt
Filed under: Glomus sp. (unid)
Lineage: Eukaryota; Fungi; Glomeromycota; Glomeromycetes; Glomerales; Glomeraceae
Source: RNAcentral